UUGGGGUUGGUGGUGAUAGUGAUUAUUACUGAUGCAAACCGACGACGGUGUUAUAUUGUUUUGCAUUGGUUUUUGCAGUGGUGGAUUGCGGUGGUUGUCAUGGUUUGGUUGCUUUUGUGACAAAUAAGUGGACUCGUGACUUUUUUGGCCCAUAAAAUCCAGUCUUGCUAGAGAAACAGGUUCAGUGAUAGAUUUUUACAUAGAUGGACAUUUGACAAAUUUUCAUUGUAAGUUGAUAAAAUAAAAAAAUAAAAAAAAGGGGCUAACAUUUCAGCCUCUGGAACAAGUUCCUGUCACUAAGUCUAUUCGUUUGGCUUGAUGCCAUAAAGUUUGAUCUCUCAAAGGCCUGUCUCAAUUUUUCCUUCACCCUUCUAUUUUUCUCAAGUUGAAAAUGUAAAAUAUUUGCUCAUUGUAUUGUUAUAAUUAUACGAAUUAAAUAUGUCGUGUAUUAAUAAAUGAUAGCACGUCUAUAUUACCCUCGAUAAAAA
This 488-nucleotide long non-coding RNA is filed under the name Olea europaea (common olive). RNAcentral's name for it is "long non-coding RNA (OEUR_LNC000448)". The record is from RNAcentral. Lineage: Eukaryota; Viridiplantae; Streptophyta; Magnoliopsida; Lamiales; Oleaceae.